This 338-nucleotide ribosomal RNA is filed under the name Escherichia coli. RNAcentral describes it as "bacterial SSU rRNA". It matches the Rfam family "Bacterial small subunit ribosomal RNA", at positions 117 to 458 of the family's 1533-position model. The record is from RNAcentral. Lineage: Bacteria; Pseudomonadati; Pseudomonadota; Gammaproteobacteria; Enterobacterales; Enterobacteriaceae.
CUGGGAAACUGCCUGAUGGAGGGGGAUAACUACUGGAAACGGUAGCUAAUACCGCAUAACGUCGCAAGACCAAAGAGGGGGACCCUCGGGCCUCUUGCCAUCGGAUGUGCCCAGAUGGGAUUAGCUAGUAGGUGGGGUAACGGCUCACCUAGGCGACGAUCCCUAGCUGGUCUGAGAGGAUGACCAGCCACACUGGAACUGAGACACGGUCCAGACUCCUACGGGAGGCAGCAGUGGGGAAUAUUGCACAAUGGGCGCAAGCCUGAUGCAGCCAUGCCGCGUGUAUGAAGAAGGCCUUCGGGUUGUAAAGUACUUUCAGCGGGGAGGAAGGGAGUAAA